GAUGAAGAACGCAGCGAAAUGCGAUAAGUAAUGUGAAUUGCAGAAUUCAGUGAAUCAUCGAAUCUUUGAACGCACCUUGCACCCUUUGGCAUUCUGAAGGGUAUGCUCGUUUGAGUGUCAUUGUACUCUCACACUCCCGAUCUUUGCAUUGGGAGCAGUGGACUUGGGUUUGCUGCUUCACCGUCGCUUACCUCAAAUAGGUUAGUGCAACUCUUGGUUGGACAUAGUACGGCGUGAUAAGUGUUCUUCGCCGGUGCCUCGCAAAGAGGGUGGCCGAUCGGGAUGUUGUGCUCCAAACCGUCUUCGGACAACAACUGACAACUUGACCUCAAAUCGAGUAGGACCACCCGCUGAACUUAAGCAUAUCAAUAAGCGGAGGA
Molecule: unclassified non-coding RNA, 380 nt
Filed under: soil metagenome
Description: partial contains 5.8S ribosomal RNA, internal transcribed spacer 2, and large subunit ribosomal RNA
Rfam family: 5.8S ribosomal RNA (bases 1-120)
Source: RNAcentral